Molecule: transfer RNA, 76 nt
Filed under: Paracoccus sp. (in: a-proteobacteria)
Lineage: Bacteria; Pseudomonadati; Pseudomonadota; Alphaproteobacteria; Rhodobacterales; Paracoccaceae
Also listed under: 27 other names
Description: Paracoccus sp. (anaerobic digester metagenome) tRNA-Ala
Rfam family: tRNA
About the family: Transfer RNA (tRNA) molecules are approximately 80 nucleotides in length. Their secondary structure includes four short double-helical elements and three loops (D, anti-codon, and T loops).
Source: RNAcentral
GGGGCCGUAGCUCAGUUGGUAGAGCGCAUCGUUCGCAAUGAUGAGGUCAGGGGUUCGAUUCCCCUCGGCUCCACCA